Lucilia cuprina (Australian sheep blowfly) is the source of this 1106-nucleotide long non-coding RNA. RefSeq lists it as uncharacterized. The transcript is spliced from 6 exons. The record is from RefSeq and is a predicted model, not a curated record. NCBI's taxonomy places the organism in Eukaryota, Metazoa, Arthropoda, Insecta, Diptera, Calliphoridae.
UGUUCUAUUGUCGAAUUAAAAUUAAUAUAUUGUUUAAAAUAAGUAUGAAGUUGAAAUAUUUUUUUUUAUAAAAUUAUCAAAAAAAUGUUGUUUUAUAAUUUUGUGAGAAAAUUUUUAAGAGAAAAGUUAAAUAAUUUAUUAAAAAAGUGUUUAAAGUUUUGCAAAAUGUUAUUGCAAUUAUUGGUCUGCAGCCGGUCGCUGUUUUUCUUUUGUUUGGCCGUUCUUUUUUUUAAGAGAGAAUAUUCCAAGGCGGGAAAAUGUGGAUGGUGUGUUAGUUUGUUGUUAUUAGAGCAAGUGUUUUUGUUUGUUUUAAAUGUAUAUGUGUACAUAUGUAUGUAUGUAAAAGCUGUAUAUUAGUAGAUAUGUACUUAUGAGUGACAAUAAAAAUAAAGUAAAUAAAAAGAGCAAAAUCAUGAAAUCCAAAGACAAUAAAUAUUGGGCGCUGCAUUCGAAGACUUUGUGUGAAAAAGGGAGGAAUCCACAUUUGACCAACGAAUUGAAGGUCUGCAGCCGGUCGGUGUUUUUCUUUUGUUUGGUCAUUCUUUUUGUUAACAGAGGAGACUGCAAGGCGGGAAAAUUUUGUAUGAUGUGUAAAAUGUUGUUGUUAUUAGAGCAAGUGUUUUUUGUUUGUUUAAAAUGUACGUACAUAUGUGUGUAAGUGUGUAUGUAAAAGCUGUAUAUUAAUAUGUAGAUAAAUUAAAUAAAAGAAGCAAAAUCAUAUAAUCCAAAGGCAAUAAAUUUGUGUAAGAUAAAGUAAAUAAAAAGUGCAAAAUCAUGUAAUCCGAAGGCAAUAAAUAUUGGGCGCUCCAUUGGAAGACUUUGUGUGAAAAAUGGAGGAAUCCACAUUUGACCAACAAAUUGAAGCAAGAGUGAGCUGUUGUUGUUGGCUUAAAGAUGAUUUAAUAUUGUGUUAAAGAAAAAAUAAAUAAAUAAAUAAAUAAAUAAAUAAAUAAAUAAAUAAAUAAAUAAAUGGAAAAUCAUGGAAUCUAAAGACAAUAUGUUUUGGACAUUACAAUGAAAAGAUUUAAGCAUAUUAUACUUAACAUUUAGUACACCCUAUACUUGAGUGAAGGAGGGCGAAUCCAUAUCUGACCAACGAAUUGAAG